UGGGGACAGGGUUGUCCCUGAGAGGAGGCAGAGUCCCAGACCUGAGAAUUCAGGGGCAGGAGGAAGCGGAGGCAACAGCAUCAGCAGCUUCUGGUGCAGAGAAUGAAGACCCGGCACCUCUGCGGAUGCAGAAAUGGAGUGGAGGGCACCUGGGACCGAAGUGGGAGCACUCAGGCCCCACACCGAUGUCCCCUUCUGGGAGGGGGCCCAUCAGUCAGCAGGACUCCUGGCCCCCCUGCCCUCCCUUCUUCCUGGGAGUCUCUGAGGCUGGAGUUCUGUGAAGGUUCUGGUGAAUUUUCAGCGUGGAUGAGGCAUGGUCAGAAGAGUAGGCACCCUUUGAAACUCUUGCCCUCACCCAUGACUGUUUGACUUCUCAUGUGAGCAGAAAGGAGAUGUUUUGGGUCAAAUUCAACUCACCAUCUUCUCUUCAGACCUCAUCGGUCUUGCCAGGACCUCAGAUUCACUGUCUUGCUGCUGACUUCGUGAAGACAUUUUUAUUUUGCAGAAGGACACAAGGAGAGACUCUGCAUUGGGAGUGUGCAUGGCAGGAAGAAGGUCCAUAGAAGGAGAGGGGUCUGCAUCUCACAAACCUCUUAGAUUCCACAGGUGGGAUGUGAAAGUCCCCAUGAAAGAAGCUGAAACACCAGCUGCAGUUGAAGAGCUUUCCUUCAUCCCCACAGAUCUUGCAUUUCUCUGCUUUUUUCAGCUAGAAGAUAAAACAAUGUCUGUAUCCCCACUGAGACCUUGAAGACCAACACUGUGGGAAUCUGGAACUCAUUGAUUUUGUGGGAACCUUCAUGGACAAGUUACGUGCUUCUCCCUGAGCUGUGAACCAAUUGCAUGGAGUGGAGAUUCAGAAAAAGAACUCUUGGUCUGUGGUGAAGUUCAGGAGGAGUGGCCUAUGUGAACAGAAAAGGUUUUCCUAUAAAACCAGAGUCUCUAACACAGAAAGAUCAGCUACAAAAGAGAGGAUGAAUUUUACAGAAAUGUGAACCAUUGUAUUACCUUGCAAAUAAAACAAGGUCCUGGAACAAAAA
Myotis daubentonii (Daubenton's bat) is the source of this 1037-nucleotide long non-coding RNA. RefSeq lists it as uncharacterized. NCBI's taxonomy places the organism in Eukaryota, Metazoa, Chordata, Mammalia, Chiroptera, Vespertilionidae. The record is from RefSeq and is a predicted model, not a curated record.